Molecule: long non-coding RNA, 1452 nt
Filed under: Rattus norvegicus (Norway rat)
Lineage: Eukaryota; Metazoa; Chordata; Mammalia; Rodentia; Muridae
Description: long non-coding RNA NONRATT013347
Source: RNAcentral
GUAACAGCACCGUAGAGGGAGGUGUGCGGGCUCUCCCAUCUGUCUGGCGGUCCAUACCUACCCCUGAGUCCUGGAGCCCACCUUUCCUGCCUGCAAGUGUGGGGGAUACCCAGCCCCUAGGGCCUGGAGGUCUGGCUGCAAGAUACCUGUUCACUGCCCUAAAAGUCAGAGCCACAUCCUGAGAUGCCAGCAAGCCAUGGUUUGCAGGUAGGGGCCUGGCGUUCCCAGUGAGGCCCUGGGACUCUGAUGCCCCUCCUAGGGCCUGUGUCAGAUAUCUCCACAUAGGUACCAAGUUUCUAUCUCCUAGACAUGUCCUAAAGCAUCUAGUCUGUAACCUAAGACUGGUUUUGUCCCUAGCCCCAUCUGAGGGGUUUUAUCUAUGGACCCUGUGGCCUUGAGAAGAGUCAUGUGUUGUUAAACUCCCAACCCCACCCUGCCCCCACCCCCAACCAAAGCUCCCCAAGAUAGAGCAGAGCAGUCUCGGUGCUGGCUGCCCUGCCUGCAGGUGGGAAGAGGCAGCUCAUUCAUAACUGAGCUCGGUAUACCUGCAGGGAUAGCCUGCCCUUGUAGCAAGCAGAGCCUGGCUCUGUGUCCCAGCUGGGAUAAACUAGCUGAGUUCACAAGCAGCUUUGCAAGUUGCCAUUCCUGCCCACCAGUCUCCACUCCUCUUGCAAGUAGGCCUGACUCCAUAAUGGUUGGAACGGCAUCCUAGUCAAGGCCUUUUGGCCACCUUUCUGACCGCAGCCUCUCGUGUGUCUUGCUUACCUACCAGCACACCAGGGCACCCACUCCAGUGCGGACACCCAUGUGGACACCCGCCCUGUAGGCAUCCCCUCAUCAUAGACUUGGCUGCUUUCCCGUCACAUGCACAGAGCAGUGCUCACACUCACUUGGCAGACUGCAGCUGUGGCCCCAGGUAGACUACAGCCACCUGGUGCUAGGUGCCUUUGGGCACCUGAGUGGCUCAGGAGGCCUCUGGGUGCUCUGGGCCUUUGGGUAGCCCAGCGGGUCAUGGCUUCUUCUUUGGCCAACCUGGCCUGGCCAAGAUGACAGGAACUCAUCCGGGUAACUGGCCAUUCGUUCUCCAUGCCCGUUCCUCCGUCAUUGAGCCGGCCACGGGGAGCAUCUUGCACCAGGCCCACCGGGACCCUGACUGAACUCUCUCCUUGUUUUUGUCUCCCGCCCCACCAGAAGGUGAUGCUUCCGUCGGGAGCUGCCUUCCGGUGGUUUCAGUGAUUUCAGUGACGGCCGGGAACCCAAAGCUGCCCUCUCCGUGCAAUGUCACAGCCCGCGUGGUCUCCGGCAAGGGAUUCGGGCGAAGACAAACGGAUGCACCCGUCUUUAGAACCAAAAAUAUUCUCUCACAGAUUUCAUUCCUGUUUUUAUAUAUAUAUAUUUUUUGUUGUCGUUUUAACAUCUCCACGUCCCUAGUAUAAAAAGAAAAAGAAAAAA